Molecule: ribosomal RNA, 497 nt
Filed under: uncultured bacterium
Lineage: Bacteria
Description: partial 16S ribosomal RNA
Rfam family: Bacterial small subunit ribosomal RNA
Source: RNAcentral
GAUGAACGCUGGCGGCGUGCCUAAUACAUGCAAGUCGAGCGAACAGAUGAGGAGCUUGCUUCUCUGACGUUAGCGGCGGACGGGUGAGUAACACGUGGAUAACCUACCUAUAAGACUGGGAUAACUUCGGGAAACCGGAGCUAAUACCGGAUAAUAUAUUGAACCGCAUGGUUCAAUAGUGAAAGACGGAUUUGCUGUCACUUAUAGAUGGAUCCGCGCCGCAUUAGCUAGUUGGUAAGGUAACGGCUUACCAAGGCAACGAUGCGUAGCCGACCUGAGAGGGUGAUCGGCCACACUGGAACUGAGACACGGUCCAGACUCCUACGGUAGGCAGCAGUAGGGAAUCUUCCGCAAUGGGCGAAAGCCUGACGGAGCAACGCCGCGUGAGUGAUGAAGGUCUUCGGAUCGUAAAACUCUGUUAUUAGGGAAGAACAAAUGUGUAAGUAACUAUGCACGUCUUGACGGUACCUAAUCAGAAAGCCACGGCUAACUACGUG